Molecule: ribosomal RNA, 238 nt
Filed under: uncultured bacterium
Lineage: Bacteria
Description: partial 16S ribosomal RNA
Rfam family: Bacterial small subunit ribosomal RNA
Source: RNAcentral
CGGCGGACGGGUGAGUAACGCGUGGGUAACCUGCCUUACACUGGGGGAUAACAGUUAGAAAUGACUGCUAAUACCGCAUAAGCGCACAGGGCUGCAUGGCCUGGUGUGAAAAACUCCGGUGGUGUAAGAUGGACCCGCGUCUGAUUAGGUAGUUGGUGGGGUAACGGCCCACCAAGCCGACGAUCAGUAGCCGACCUGAGAGGGUGAUCGGCCACACUGGGACUGAGACACGGCCCAG